Molecule: transfer RNA, 72 nt
Organism: Camelus ferus (Wild Bactrian camel)
Lineage: Eukaryota; Metazoa; Chordata; Mammalia; Artiodactyla; Camelidae
Rfam family: tRNA
About the family: Transfer RNA (tRNA) molecules are approximately 80 nucleotides in length. Their secondary structure includes four short double-helical elements and three loops (D, anti-codon, and T loops). Further hydrogen bonds mediate the characteristic L-shaped molecular structure. tRNAs have two regions of fundamental functional importance: the anti-codon, which is responsible for specific mRNA codon recognition, and the 3' end, to which the tRNAs corresponding amino acid is attached (by aminoacyl-tRNA synthetases). tRNAs cope with the degeneracy of the genetic code in two manners: having more than one tRNA (with a specific anti-codon) for a particular amino acid; and 'wobble' base-pairing, i.e. permitting non-standard base-pairing at the 3rd anti-codon position.
Source: Rfam
GCGGGUAUAGCUCAGUGGCAGAGCACGUACUUAGCGUGCCUGAGGUCCUGGAUUCAAUCCCCAGUACCUCCG